This 208-nucleotide non-coding RNA is filed under the name Alistipes putredinis. Lineage: Bacteria; Pseudomonadati; Bacteroidota; Bacteroidia; Bacteroidales; Rikenellaceae. The record is from RNAcentral. RNAcentral also lists the same sequence under 1 other name.
AUACCUUUGCACCCGCAAGGUUCGGACUUGGAAUCACUUUUCCAAGCCGAUUAAUAGGGAAUGCCGUGAAAAUCGGCGACAGUACCUGCUGCUGUGAGUUUCAGCCCCCGACCGGGCAACUUCGCGCACUCUUUGCCACUGGCUAUAUCGCUGGGAAGGCGUUGCGGAGGAAACGAGUCAGAAGACCUGCCUUGACAAUCAGGAUUUA